RNAcentral lists this ribosomal RNA (2900 nucleotides) under Shigella dysenteriae 225-75. RNAcentral describes it as "bacterial LSU rRNA". It matches the Rfam family "Bacterial large subunit ribosomal RNA". Lineage: Bacteria; Pseudomonadati; Pseudomonadota; Gammaproteobacteria; Enterobacterales; Enterobacteriaceae. The record is from RNAcentral.
UAAGCGACUAAGCGUACACGGUGGAUGCCCUGGCAGUCAGAGGCGAUGAAGGACGUGCUAAUCUGCGAUAAGCGUCGGUAAGGUGAUAUGAACCGUUAUAACCGGCGAUUUCCGAAUGGGGAAACCCAGUGUGAUUCGUCACACUAUCAUUAACUGAAUCCAUAGGUUAAUGAGGCGAACCGGGGGAACUGAAACAUCUAAGUACCCCGAGGAAAAGAAAUCAACCGAGAUUCCCCCAGUAGCGGCGAGCGAACGGGGAGCAGCCCAGAGCCUGAAUCAGUGUGUGUGUUAGUGGAAGCGUCUGGAAAGGCGUGCGAUACAGGGUGACAGCCCCGUACACAAAAAUGCACAUAUUGUGAGCUCGAUGAGUAGGGCGGGACACGUGGUAUCCUGUCUGAAUAUGGGGGGGACCAUCCUCCAAGGCUAAAUACUCCUGACUGACCGUUAGUGAACCAGUACCGUGAGGGAAAGGCGAAAAGAACCCCGGCGAGGGGAGUGAAAAAGAACCUGAAACCGUGUACGUACAAGCAGUGGGAGCACGCUUAGGCGUGUGACUGCGUACCUUUUGUAUAAUGGGUCAGCGACUUAUAUUCUGUAGCAAGGUUAACCGAAUAGGGGAGCCGAAGGGAAACCGAGUCUUAACUGGGCGUUAAGUUGCAGGGUAUAGACCCGAAACCCGGUGAUCUAGCCAUGGGCAGGUUGAAGGUUGGGUAACACUAACUGGAGGACCGAACCGACUAAUGUUGAAAAAUUAGCGGAUGACUUGUGGCUGGGGGUGAAAGGCCAAUCAAACCGGGAGAUAGCUGGUUCUCCCCGAAAGCUAUUUAGGUAGCGCCUCGUGAAUUCAUCUCCGGGGGUAGAGCACUGUUUCGGCAAGGGGGUCAUCCCGACUUACCAACCCGAUGCAAACUGCGAAUACCGGAGAAUGUUAUCACGGGAGACACACGGCGGGUGCUAACGUCCGUCGUGAAGAGGGAAACAACCCAGACCGCCAGCUAAGGUCCCAAAGUCAUGGUUAAGUGGGAAACGAUGUGGGAAGGCCCAGACAGCCAGGAUGUUGGCUUAGAAGCAGCCAUCAUUUAAAGAAAGCGUAAUAGCUCACUGGUCGAGUCGGCCUGCGCGGAAGAUGUAACGGGGCUAAACCAUGCACCGAAGCUGCGGCAGCGACACUAUGUGUUGUUGGGUAGGGGAGCGUUCUGUAAGCCUGUGAAGGUGUACUGUGAGGUAUGCUGGAGGUAUCAGAAGUGCGAAUGCUGACAUAAGUAACGAUAAAGCGGGUGAAAAGCCCGCUCGCCGGAAGACCAAGGGUUCCUGUCCAACGUUAAUCGGGGCAGGGUGAGUCGACUCCUAAGGCGAGGCCGAAAGGCGUAGUCGAUGGGAAACAGGUUAAUAUUCCUGUACUUGGUGUUACUGCGAAGGGGGGACGGAGAAGGCUAUGUUGGCCGGGCGACGGUUGUCCCGGUUUAAGCGUGUAGGCUGGUUUUCCAGGCAAAUCCGGAAAACUAAGGCUGAGGCGUGAUGACGAGGCACUACGGUGCUGAAGCAACAAAUGCCCUGCUUCCAGGAAAAGCCUCUAAGCAUCAGGUAACAUCAAAUCGUACCCCAAACCGACACAGGUGGUCAGGUAGAGAAUACCAAGGCGCUUGAGAGAACUCGGGUGAAGGAACUAGGCAAAAUGGUGCCGUAACUUCGGGAGAAGGCACGCUGAUAUGUAGGUGAAGUCCCUCGCGGAUGGAGCUGAAAUCAGUCGAAGAUACCAGCUGGCUGCAACUGUUUAUUAAAAACACAGCACUGUGCAAACACGAAAGUGGACGUAUACGGUGUGACGCCUGCCCGGUGCCGGAAGGUUAAUUGAUGGGGUCAGCGCAAGCGAAGCUCUUGAUCGAAGCCCCGGUAAACGGCGGCCGUAACUAUAACGGUCCUAAGGUAGCGAAAUUCCUUGUCGGGUAAGUUCCGACCUGCACGAAUGGCGUAAUGAUGGCCAGGCUGUCUCCACCCGAGACUCAGUGAAAUUGAACUCGCUGUGAAGAUGCAGUGUACCCGCGGCAAGACGGAAAGACCCCGUGAACCUUUACUAUAGCUUGACACUGAACAUUGAGCCUUGAUGUGUAGGAUAGGUGGGAGGCUUUGAAGUGUGGACGCCAGUCUGCAUGGAGCCGACCUUGAAAUACCACCCUUUAAUGUUUGAUGUUCUAACGUUGACCCGUAAUCCGGGUUGCGGACAGUGUCUGGUGGGUAGUUUGACUGGGGCGGUCUCCUCCUAAAGAGUAACGGAGGAGCACGAAGGUUGGCUAAUCCUGGUCGGACAUCAGGAGGUUAGUGCAAUGGCAUAAGCCAGCUUGACUGCGAGCGUGACGGCGCGAGCAGGUGCGAAAGCAGGUCAUAGUGAUCCGGUGGUUCUGAAUGGAAGGGCCAUCGCUCAACGGAUAAAAGGUACUCCGGGGAUAACAGGCUGAUACCGCCCAAGAGUUCAUAUCGACGGCGGUGUUUGGCACCUCGAUGUCGGCUCAUCACAUCCUGGGGCUGAAGUAGGUCCCAAGGGUAUGGCUGUUCGCCAUUUAAAGUGGUACGCGAGCUGGGUUUAGAACGUCGUGAGACAGUUCGGUCCCUAUCUGCCGUGGGCGCUGGAGAACUGAGGGGGGCUGCUCCUAGUACGAGAGGACCGGAGUGGACGCAUCACUGGUGUUCGGGUUGUCAUGCCAAUGGCACUGCCCGGUAGCUAAAUGCGGAAGAGAUAAGUGCUGAAAGCAUCUAAGCACGAAACUUGCCCCGAGAUGAGUUCUCCCUGACUCCUUGAGAGUCCUGAAGGAACGUUGAAGACGACGACGUUGAUAGGCCGGGUGUGUAAGCGCAGCGAUGCGUUGAGCUAACCGGUACUAAUGAACCGUGAGGCUUAACCU